Non-coding RNA from Gymnopus androsaceus JB14, 103 nucleotides. Lineage: Eukaryota; Fungi; Basidiomycota; Agaricomycetes; Agaricales; Omphalotaceae. The record is from the annotation of a GenBank genome assembly.
GGCGCUAUAGCCAAGUGGUUACGGCGACAGAUUUGAAUCAGAAUGGCAAGAGUUCAUUAUCUGUUCCUCUUUGAGGGCGCAGGUUCGAACCCUGCUGGCGUCG